RNAcentral lists this long non-coding RNA (1090 nucleotides) under Homo sapiens (human). RNAcentral's name for it is "HSALNT0287185". Lineage: Eukaryota; Metazoa; Chordata; Mammalia; Primates; Hominidae. The record is from RNAcentral.
AGCAUAAAUAAAGGUUUUAUUGGUCAGUUUGGGUGAGUGACAAACUGACAUGCCCCCAAUUCACUAUUCCACAUAGCCAAGACCCUGAGGGGGCAAGAGGAGAAGCUAAGCUUAUUGAUGGUGGGCAAUGGGUGAGAGGUGGAAAGGACUUGAAGGCCUCUGAGGGUUAACAAGGCUACCGGGACCGGAACCAGCAUCCUAGGAAUAAGUCCAGGAUGGAGAAGGCAUCAUCCAGAGCUGGAGGUCUUGGUGAUUUUGGAUCAUCCUAGGACUGCUAUCUGCUUCGUGUUGGGUUACUGCGGUCUCUGUCUGGCCCUCACUGUCCACCACAGUCCAGCGCUCCUCCACUAUCCCAUCUGGCUUAGUGAUUUUGGUCACAGAGAUGCUCUUGAAGUAGAUCUGGGCUGGGGCUGUAGAACCGGGCCAAGACGCUCCUGGGAAACCCGGGAAUCAAGAUCAUUGUCCUCUCUGGUUCUAGGAUGGGGGUCCACAGGCCAUACGUCAUCAAACCCAUGAAAUGGUCUCUGGGAGCCUCAAUCUGGUGCUGGUUUGGGGGAUUCACUUCUUGCAUCACUCUCCAAGACCCCCUCAAAGAUCCUGGGCUGGUGACUAUCUGGAUACUUAAGCAUUGAUUCUCGAAGUGCCUGUCCCUCCCGCAGUCUCUCACCAGGUGUCUCUGACUCAGAACCUGGAAGUUCAGGAGGAUGGGAAGGCAAGGUCCAGGCCCCCAUAUUGCUGAAGAUGCUAUUGAAAUCUUGUACUAGGUCAUCAAAGCCGAAGUUAUCGUGGAAACGUAUCCCUCCUCCUGGGCUGAAGCUGAAGUCAAAGCCAAAUUCCUUGGGCGGGAUGCUGAGGAUUAUCGAACCUUGGGUUCCCACAGCCCCAUGAGCCCCCUUCUUCCUCUUCUUCCUCAUCAUCAUCUUCAUCUCGAGUCAUCCCUCCAAAAAAGGGAUCUCUGUAGCUCUGAGGUCCAGGAAAGCCGAAAAAGCCCCGGAAGAGAUCAAAGAGGCUCAUUCCCAUAUUAGAACUGGAAUCUUUGAACCCCUCCAGUGGUCCAUUCGCAGAAAGGGGAAACCUGCGCAGCCCUGUG